AGUGAACGCUGGCGGCAGGCCUAACACAUGCAAGUCGAGCGGAUGAAGGGAGCUUGCUCCUGGAUUCAGCGGCGGACGGGUGAGUAAUGCCUAGGAAUCUGCCUGGUAGUGGGGGAUAACGUCCGGAAACGGGCGCUAAUACCGCAUACGUCCUGAGGGAGAAAGGGGGGGAUCUUCGGACCUCACGCUAUCAGAUGAGCCUAGGUCGGAUUAGCUAGUUGGUGGGGUAAAGGCCUACCAAGGCGACGAUCCGUAACUGGUCUGAGAGGAUGAUCAGUCACACUGGAACUGAGACACGGUCCAGACUCCUACGGGAGGCAGCAGUGGGGAAUAUUGGACAAUGGGCGAAAGCCUGAUCCAGCCAUGCCGCGUGUGUGAAGAAGGUCUUCGGAUUGUAAAGCCCUUUAAGUUGGGAGGAAGAGCAGUAAGUUAAUACCUUGCUGUUUUGACGUUACCCAAAGAAUAAGCACCGGCUAACUUCGUG
Molecule: ribosomal RNA, 484 nt
Filed under: uncultured bacterium
Lineage: Bacteria
Description: partial 16S ribosomal RNA
Rfam family: Bacterial small subunit ribosomal RNA
Source: RNAcentral